RNAcentral lists this ribosomal RNA (535 nucleotides) under Escherichia coli. RNAcentral's name for it is "bacterial LSU rRNA". It matches the Rfam family "Bacterial large subunit ribosomal RNA", at positions 1136 to 1673 of the family's 2925-position model. The record is from RNAcentral. Lineage: Bacteria; Pseudomonadati; Pseudomonadota; Gammaproteobacteria; Enterobacterales; Enterobacteriaceae.
AAUAGCUCACUGGUCGAGUCGGCCUGCGCGGAAGAUGUAACGGGGCUAAACCAUGCACCGAAGCUGCGGCAGCGACACUAUGUGUUGUUGGGUAGGGGAGCGUUCUGUAAGCCUGUGAAGGUGGCCUGUGAGGGUUGCUGGAGGUAUCAGAAGUGCGAAUGCUGACAUAAGUAACGAUAAAGCGGGUGAAAAGCCCGCUCGCCGGAAGACCAAGGGUUCCUGUCCAACGUUAAUCGGGGCAGGGUGAGUCGACCCCUAAGGCGAGGCCGAAAGGCGUAGUCGAUGGGAAACAGGUUAAUAUUCCUGUACUUGGUGUUACUGCGAAGGGGGGACGGAGAAGGCUAUGUUGGCCGGGCGACGGUUGUCCCGGUUUAAGCGUGUAGGCUGGUUUUCCAGGCAAAUCCGGAAAACUAAGGCUGAGGCGUGAUGACGAGGCACUACGGUGCUGAAGCAACAAAUGCCCUGCUUCCAGGAAAAGCCUCUAAGCAUCAGGUAACAUCAAAUCGUACCCCAAACCGACACAGGUGGUCAGGUA